Molecule: ribosomal RNA, 789 nt
Filed under: uncultured Neocallimastigales
Lineage: Eukaryota; Fungi; Neocallimastigomycota; Neocallimastigomycetes; Neocallimastigales
Description: partial large subunit ribosomal RNA
Rfam family: Eukaryotic large subunit ribosomal RNA
Source: RNAcentral
AUAUCAGUCAUGCAUAGCAUAUCAAUAAGCGGAGGAAAAGAAAACUAACUAGGAUUCCCUUAGUAACGGCGAGUGAAGCGGGAAGAGCUCAAAUUUGAAAUCUUCAAGGUUUUACCUUGACGAAUUGUAGUUUAAAGAAGUGUUUUCUGUUGGAGUUUUGGUAAAAGUUCUUUGGAAUAGGACAUCAUAGAGGGUGAGAAUCCCGUAUUUGACCAUUACUUUCCAACUUUGUGAUACACUUUCAAAGAGUCGGAUUGUUUGGGAAUGCAGUCCAAAAUGGGUGGUAAAUUUCAUCUAAAGCUAAAUAUUGGCGAGAGACCGAUAGCGAACAAGUACCGUGAGGGAAAGAUGAAAAGAACUUUGAAAAGAGAGUUAAACAGUACGUGUAAUUGUCAAAAGGGAAGCGUUUGACACCAGUGUUGUUUUAGUUGAAAAUCAAUUCAAUAAUUUGGGGAUUUUGAGUAGUAUUGACUUCAUCAGCUUUCUGCACUUUUCUUUUCAGAUUAUUGAAUGCACUUUUCAGUUUAACAAGUCAACAUCAAUUUCUUUUGUUGUAAAAAGGUAAGAGGAAGGUGGCUUGACGCUUCGGCGUAAGUGUUUAUAGCCUUUUACCUCUGCAAUCGGAGAGAUUGAGGACUAGCAGCGUAGACUCCUUUCGGGGUUAGAUACAGUUUGUGCUAAGCUUAUAGCCUUGUAUAGACAACUUGUUGACUAUACUCAGUCAUGUAGGCUUACUCGCAGUAUAGCUAUUUUACCUACGCUUAGGAUGUUGAUGUGAUACUGCGAGCA